AUUGAACGCUGGCGGCAUGCUUUACACAUGCAAGUCGGACGAGUGGCGAACGGGUGAGUAAUAUAUUGGAACGUACCGAGUAAUGGGGGAUAACCAAUCGAAAGUUUGGCUAAUUCCGCCUAUUAUUCCAUCGGCCAAUAUGUGAUUAGCUUGUUGGAGGGGUCAAGGCCUACCAAGGCGACGAUCAGGAGCGGGUCUGAGAGGAUGAUCCGCCACACUGGAACUGAGACACGGCCCAGACUCCUACGGGAGGCAGCAGUGGGGAAUUUUGGACAAUGGGCGCAAGCCUGAUCCAGCCAUGCCGCGUGUCUGAAGAAGGCCUUCGGGUUGUAAAGGACUUUUGUUAGGGAAGCGGUACCUAAAGAAUAAGCACCGGCUAACUACGUGCCAGCAGCCGCGGUAAUUC
RNAcentral lists this ribosomal RNA (406 nucleotides) under uncultured bacterium. RNAcentral's name for it is "partial 16S ribosomal RNA". It matches the Rfam family "Bacterial small subunit ribosomal RNA", at positions 30 to 526 of the family's 1533-position model. The record is from RNAcentral.